AGAAAGUUUGCUAGGGAGUUGAUACAAACUCAGCUAUACAUUGUUGAACAAUGCUUAUCGCAGCAUAUGACAUUUCAAAUAACGACGUACACAAUAUCAGGACAACCUGUACUAGUAUUACAUUUGAGCAUUUCAGAAUAACCAGCGUUCUUUCGCUCAUCAAUUCCAUUUACAUCCUUUUCCAUCUCUGCAGAGCAUGGCAAAAGUGAUUUCAUACUAAAUAUUUCAAUACCUAGCUUAUGGCAGUUAGUGCCUUCAUCUAAACCUCGUCUUACAGGCUUUUAUUAAACCAAGAAACAAGAGCGUUGAACUCACCCAAGAAGUAAAAACAACUGCAUCCAUUAACAAAGGUAUCAACUCUUGAUAGUAAGUUCAGCCCUGAGAUGGAGCAUACCAUUAGUAAAAUAUGGACUGUCCUCAGCGAUGAAAGAAGUCCAUGGUAUGGCAAAUAGAUUGCGGUAUCCAACUGCCUUGCCCCCUGUAAAAGUGUAGUUACCUUUGUACUUGCUGACAUACUCCUCCCCUGGUUUUGUUCUUGCUGCAAAUUCAUAAUCAACAGCAAAAGUAACCGAACCUUUUUCCUGCAUCCCCAGAAAGAGACCAAAACAGUGGAAAGAGCUUUGCUGAUCCAUG
RNAcentral lists this unclassified non-coding RNA (633 nucleotides) under Hevea brasiliensis (rubber tree). The record is from RNAcentral. Lineage: Eukaryota; Viridiplantae; Streptophyta; Magnoliopsida; Malpighiales; Euphorbiaceae.